Molecule: ribosomal RNA, 370 nt
Filed under: uncultured bacterium
Lineage: Bacteria
Description: bacterial SSU rRNA
Rfam family: Bacterial small subunit ribosomal RNA
Source: RNAcentral
GUAGGGUGCGAGCGUUAAUCGGAAUUACUGGGCGUAAAGCGUGCGCAGGCGGGCUUUUAAGCCAGACGUGAAAUCCCCGGGCUUAACCUGGGAAUGGCGUUUGGGACUGGAAGUCUGGAGUGCGGCAGAGGAGACUGGAAUUCCUGGUGUAGCAGUGAAAUGCGUAGAUAUCAGGAGGAACACCGAUGGCGAAGGCAGGUCUCUGGGCUGACACUGACGCUCAUGCACGAAAGCGUGGGGAGCAAACAGGAUUAGAUACCCUGGUAGUCCACGCCCUAAACGAUGUCGACUGGUUGUUGGGGGUUUGACACUCUCAGUAACGAAGCUAACGCGUGAAGUCGACCGCCUGGGGAGUACGGCCGCAAGGUUA